GAUGAAGAACGUAGCAAAAUGCGAUAAGUAAUGUGAAUUGCAGAAUUCAGUGAAUCAUCGAAUCUUUGAACGCACAUUGCGCCCGCUGGUAUUCCGGCGGGCAUGCCUGUUCGAGCGUCAUUUCAACCCUCAAGCCCCCGGGUUUGGUGUUGGGGAUCGGCUCUGCCUUCUGGCGGUGCCGCCCCCGAAAUACAUUGGCGGACUCGCUGCAGCCUCCAUUGCGUAGUAGCUAACACCUCGCAACUGGAACGCGGCGCGGCCAUGCCGUAAAACCCCAACUUCUGAAUGUUGACCUCGGAUCAGGUAGGAAUACCCGCUGAACUUAAGCAUAUCAAUAAGCGGAGGA
RNAcentral lists this unclassified non-coding RNA (346 nucleotides) under soil metagenome. Its description in RNAcentral is "partial contains 5.8S ribosomal RNA, internal transcribed spacer 2, and large subunit ribosomal RNA". The stretch from base 1 to 120 matches the Rfam family "5.8S ribosomal RNA", at positions 35 to 154 of the family's 154-position model. The record is from RNAcentral.